AGUGAACGCUGGCGGUAGGCCUAACACAUGCAAGUCGAACGGCAGCACAGUAAGAGCUUGCUCUUACGGGUGGCGAGUGGCGGACGGGUGAGGAAUACAUCGGAAUCUACUUUUUCGUGGGGGAUAACGUAGGGAAACUUACGCUAAUACCGCAUACGACUUACGGGUGAAAGCAGGGGAUCUUCGGACCUUGCGCGAUUGAAUGAGCCGAUGUCGGAUUAGCUAGUUGGCGGGGUAAAGGCCCACCAAGGCGACGAUCCGUAGCUGGUCUGAGAGGAUGAUCAGCCACACUGGAACUGAGACACGGUCCAGACUCCUACGGGAGGCAGCAGUGGGGAAUAUUGGACAAUGGGCGCAAGCCUGAUCCAGCCAUACCGCGUGGGUGAAGAAGGCCUUCGGGUUGUAAAGCCCUUUUGUUGGGAAAGAAAAGCAGCAGGUUAAUACCCCGCUGUUCUGACGUUACCCAAAGAAUAAGCACCGGCUAACUUCGUG
Molecule: ribosomal RNA, 492 nt
Filed under: uncultured bacterium
Lineage: Bacteria
Description: partial 16S ribosomal RNA
Rfam family: Bacterial small subunit ribosomal RNA
Source: RNAcentral